Molecule: ribosomal RNA, 365 nt
Filed under: uncultured bacterium
Lineage: Bacteria
Description: bacterial SSU rRNA
Rfam family: Bacterial small subunit ribosomal RNA
Source: RNAcentral
GGAGUAUGGUCAUGGCUCAGAAUGAACGCUAGCGGCGUGCUUAACACAUGCAAGUCGUACGAGAGCUCUUUAGCCUGCUAAAGAUAGUAAAGUGGCGCACGGGCGAGUAACGCGUGGGUAAUCUACCUCCGAAUUUGGGAUAACUCCGCAGAAAGCGGGGCUAAUACCGGAUAAUAUUUCAGGAUUUUCGGGUCUUGAAAUCAAAAGUGGCCUCUACAUGUAAGCUACUGUUUGGAGAUGAGCCCGCGUACCAUUAGCUUGUUGGUAGGGUAAUGGCCUACCAAGGCUACGAUGGUUAGCUGGUCUGAGAGGAUGAUCAGCCACACUGGAACUGAUACCCGGUCCAGACUCCUACGGGAGGCAGC